RNAcentral lists this ribosomal RNA (519 nucleotides) under uncultured bacterium. RNAcentral's name for it is "bacterial SSU rRNA". It matches the Rfam family "Bacterial small subunit ribosomal RNA", at positions 27 to 518 of the family's 1533-position model. The record is from RNAcentral.
GGACGAACGCUGGCGGCGUGCCUAAUACAUGCAAGUCGAACGGUCUUUCUAUGGAAGCUUGCUUCCACUGAGGAGAUAGUGGCGAACGGGUGAGUAACACGUGGGUAACCUGCCCAUAAGAGGGGGGAUAACAUCCGGAAACGGGUGCUAAUACCGCAUAGUUUUCUUGAUCGCAUGAUCGGGAAAGGAAAGACGGCCUUUGUGCUGUCGCUUAUGGAUGGACCCGCGGCGUAUUAGUUAGUUGGUGAGGUAACGGCUCACCAAGACGAUGAUACGUAGCCGACCUGAGAGGGUGAUCGGCCACAUUGGGACUGAGACACGGCCCAAACUCCUACGGGAGGCAGCAGUAGGGAAUCUUCCGCAAUGGACGAAAGUCUGACGGAGCAACGCCGCGUGAGUGAAGAAAGGUUUUCGGAUCGUAAAACUCUGUUGUCAGAGAAGAACAAGUUGGAGAGUAACUGCUCCAGCCUUGACGGUAUCUGACCAGAAAGCCACGGCUAACUACGUGCCAGCCGCCGC